Long non-coding RNA from Pseudoliparis swirei, 852 nucleotides. RefSeq lists it as uncharacterized. The transcript has 2 exons. The record is from RefSeq and is a predicted model, not a curated record. NCBI's taxonomy places the organism in Eukaryota, Metazoa, Chordata, Actinopteri, Perciformes, Liparidae.
GUACCCGGAUGGUGCACUGCAAACGGGCCAAAAAUGUAGUGUAAAACGAUGGACACUACUCGCACUAAGCGGCCGCCAUCUUGGAGACGUAGCGGAAGAGGAGGAGCCCUUUCGCCAGCUUUUCAUUUUAUUUCAAAAACAAUGGCGGACAGCACAAGCGGUAGACCGCGAAGCUACAGACCGUAAAUAGACGUUUCCUGGAGGUGCUGGUGCUGGUCCUCUGCUGCCCUCCCGACAUCUGGCUCCAAUGACCUCUGGCACCUCACAUCCACCUCCAGGGCCUUUAAGAAGAUGGACCGCCAUCGCGUCUUCAGUAUCCCGAAGGACCUCUCCACAACACACCUGGCCUUUGACAGGCAGCAGUUGUAGCUUGGAGGUGGACAGGCUGCCUGAAGGGGUCAUGAGGCAGAUGGGUUGGGACAGGCAGGGGGAGCCACCAUCCCCAAGGAUACAGUAUCCUGGUGGAGGAUGACUGCUCAUAGAAGAUGGGGCUGUUAUUCAGGACCCUGGCAUCAUGCACUGAGCCGGGGCCUGUCGAAGGCCCUGGCCACCACCCGAUAGGAGGUGGCGCUGGCAAGCCAAAAAAUAAAUACUAGACGGGAGAUCUCGGGGCCCCAACCGUGGUCAGUCAGUGCCCAGCACAGCCAUGAGGGCGUUGAAUGACUCUGGUGAGCCUGAAGUCCACCCUCAUGUCACUGUGGCCAUCACAAUACAACGCCAGCAGUGGCAUUGCAACAUGGAUACGGCAGCGCCGCCUGGGACUGGGUGGCUGCUGUAGAGUGUGGGGAGGGGAGGGGAAGGGAAGAUUAUAUUAAUAUGUAAGUCAUUUUAUCAAUAAAAUGUUGUCAUUGA